RNAcentral lists this unclassified non-coding RNA (1899 nucleotides) under Hevea brasiliensis (rubber tree). The record is from RNAcentral. Lineage: Eukaryota; Viridiplantae; Streptophyta; Magnoliopsida; Malpighiales; Euphorbiaceae.
UUUCUCUAUAAAUUCUCCCACAUCCAUAUGCCUUGGACAACUAUCCACAUCUCUCACCCCAUUCCUGCAUAUCCAAGAGUGUUUCUCCUCAUCCUUGGAACAUAAUGAGUUAUGAAGGAUAUGAGAACAACCAUAUGUCUGUUGGACCAUGGGGAGGCCAAAAUGGAGUACGUUGGGACGAUGGAGUUUUCGACUCUGUAAGACAAGUGUUGAUCUGCCAUGGAGCUGGGGUUGAUUCCAUCCAGUUUGAGUAUGACAAGAAGGGCACUUCAGUGUGGUCUGAGAAGCACGGUGGAACUGGUGGUGUCAGGACAAAUAAGGUGAAGCUUGAUUAUCCUGAUGAAUAUCUUGUAUCUGUAAGUGGCCAUUACGGAAGCGGGGUUGACUAUGGUCCAAUACUGAUUCGUUCCCUUAUUUUCGAGAGCAACAAAAGGAAGUACGGACCUUUUGGAAUUCAGCAAGGAACCCAUUUCUCAUUUCCUCUGACCGGUGGCAAAGUAGUUGGUUUCCAUGGCCGGAGCAGUUGGUACCUUGACUCCAUUGGAGUUUACUUAAAGCCUCUCCUGCAACGAAAUCCAUCCAAGAAUCCUGCUGCUCAACAAGCGACCGGCCGAACAGGAGAUAAAGUGAAAGAUCCUUAUGACUCUGAAGUGGAAACAAACAACCAGAAGGCGGUUAAUGAUAAAGCAGCCAUCGUCAGACCCGUGAAGGCAGUGUCAUAUGGACCGUGGGGUGGUAAUGGUGGAAUGCUAUUUGAUGAUGGAGUUUAUACAGGCGUCCGUGAAAUUCAUUUAACACGCUAUGGAGGCGUUGUUUCCAUACGAGUUUGUUAUGAUCUGAAUGGCCAAGCAAUAUGGGGAAACAAGAAUGGUGGAAGCGGAGCAAUUAGAUUAGACAAGAUAGCUUUUGAUUAUCCAUCUGAAAUCUUGACUCACAUAACCGGAUAUUAUGGAUCAACCAUCCUAAGGGGUCCUACCGUCGUCAAGUCCCUGACCUUUCACACCAAUAAGAUGAAAUAUGGACCCUUUGGGGAGGAACAAGGGAUUUCUUUCUCCUCUGGUUCUAACAAUGGGUUUGUUGUUGGAUUCCAUGGAAGAAAGGGAUGGUUCAUAGACAGUAUUGGAGUCCAUGUCGCAGAAGUUAAAUUGUCCAGGCCAUUAUCUCGGUCUUCCUAUGAUCCCUUCGAUUCCACCGACGUUAAAGAAUAUGAGGUUAUGGUCCCCGGAAUGGCAAGAGAACCAGCUGCAGCUGCUCCAUGGGCGUCAGGACCAUGGGGUGGUGAUGGAGGUAAGCCCUGGGACGAUGGAAUAUACUCUGGGGUUAAGAAGAUUUUCUUGGCAAAAGGAGAAGCCAUAUAUUGCAUCCAAAUCGAGUAUGAUCGAAAUGGCCAAUCUGCUUGGUCAGUUAGGCAUGGAGGUGGCAGUGAAGGAAGCUCUCACUUGGUAAUCAAUGCAAUGACUUGAGCACCAAAUUUAAUGAGUAUAAUUUUGUUUUCAGUUAAUAUUAAUUAUGGGUUCUGUGCUGUUAUGCUUAAAAUCAAAGCAGAUCAAAUUUGAGUAUCCAUACGAAAUUCUUACCAGUGUAUGUGGUUAUUAUGGAUCUCUCACUGGAGAUGAUAGCAACAGUGUAAUAAAAUCCCUCACAUUCUAUACCAAUAAGGGGAAAUAUGGACCAUAUGGAGAGGAAAUAGGAACGUUUUUCCCUUCUACGAAAACAGAAGGAAAGAUUGUUGGGUUCCAUGGGAGGAGUGGAUGUUACUUGAAUUCAGUUGGCGUUCAUAUGCAGCAAUGGUCAAGUGAUCGAGACUUGGCACCGCAAGGGCCUGGAGAGCGAGGUGGUGCCGUCAAAACUAUUCUAAAUAAGUUGUUUAAUUGAAGUUCAUUAGUUUUCUAGCAUUUA